UUAAGUUGCAGGGUAUAGACCCGAAACCCGGUGAUCUAGCCAUGGGCAGGUUGAAGGUUGGGUAACACUAACUGGAGGACCGAACCGACUAAUGUUGAAAAAUUAGCGGAUGACUUGUGGCUGGGGGUGAAAGGCCAAUCAAACCGGGAGAUAGCUGGUUCUCCCCGAAAGCUAUUUAGGUAGCGCCUCGUGAAUUCAUCUCCGGGGGUAGAGCACUGUUUCGGCAAGGGGGUCAUCCCGACUUACCAACCCGAUGCAAACUGCGAAUACCGGAGAAUGUUAUCACGGGAGACACACGGCGGGUGCUAACGUCCGUCGUGAAGAGGGAAACAACCCAGACCGCCAGCUAAGGUCCCAAAGUCAUGGUUAAGUGGGAAACGAUGUGGGAAGGCCCAGACAGCCAGGAUGUUGGCUUAGAAGCAGCCAUCAUUUAAAGAAAGCGUAAUAGCUCACUGGUCGAGUUGGCCUGCGCGGAAGAUGUAACGGGGCUAAACCAUGCACCGAAGCUGCGGCAGCGACACUGUGUGUUGUUGGGUAGGGGAGCGUUCUGUAAGCCUGUGAAGGUGUGCUGUGAGGCAUGCUGGAGGUAUCAGAAGUGCGAAUGCUGACAUAAGUAACGAUAAAGCGGGUGAAAAGCCCGCUCGCCGGAAGACCAAGGGUUCCUGUCCAACGUUAAUCGGGGCAGGGUGAGUCGACCCCUAAGGCGAGGCCGAAAGGCGUAGUCGAUGGGAAACAGGUUAAUAUUCCUGUACUUGGUGUUACUGCGAAGGGGGGACGGAGAAGGCUAUGUUGGCCGGGCGACGGUUGUCCCGGUUUAAGCGUGUAGGCUGGUUUUCCAGGCAAAUCCGGAAAAUCAAGGCUGAGGCGUGAUGACGAGGCACUACGGUGCUGAAGCAACAAAUGCCCUGCUUCCAGGAAAAGCCUCUAAGCAUCAGGUAACAUCAAAUCGUACCCCAAACCGACACAGGUGGUCAGGUAGAGAAUACCAAGGCGCUUGAGAGAACUCGGGUGAAGGAACUAGGCAAAAUGGUGCCGUAACUUCGGGAGAAGGCACGCUGAUAUGUAGGUGAAGUCCCUCGCGGAUGGAGCUGAAAUCAGUCGAAGAUACCAGCUGGCUGCAACUGUUUAUUAAAAACACAGCACUGUGCAAACACGAAAGUGGACGUAUACGGUGUGACGCCUGCCCGGUGCCGGAAGGUUAAUUGAUGGGGUCAGCGCAAGCGAAGCUCUUGAUCGAAGCCCCGGUAAACGGCGGCCGUAACUAUAACGGUCCUAAGGUAGCGAAAUUCCUUGUCGGGUAAGUUCCGACCUGCACGAAUGGCGUAAUGAUGGCCAGGCUGUCUCCACCCGAGACUCAGUGAAAUUGAACUCGCUGUGAAGAUGCAGUGUACCCGCGGCAAGACGGAAAGACCCCGUGAACCUUUACUAUAGCUUGACACUGAACAUUGAGCCUUGAUGUGUAGGAUAGGUGGGAGGCUUUGAAGUGUGGACGCCAGUCUGCAUGGAGCCGACCUUGAAAUACCACCCUUUAAUGUUUGAUGUUCUAACGUGGACCCGUGAUCCGGGUUGCGGACAGUGUCUGGUGGGUAGUUUGACUGGGGCGGUCUCCUCCUAAAGAGUAACGGAGGAGCACGAAGGUUGGCUAAUCCUGGUCGGACAUCAGGAGGUUAGUGCAAUGGCAUAAGCCAGCUUGACUGCGAGCGUGACGGCGCGAGCAGGUGCGAAAGCAGGUCAUAGUGAUCCGGUGGUUCUGAAUGGAAGGGCCAUCGCUCAACGGAUAAAAGGUACUCCGGGGAUAACAGGCUGAUACCGCCCAAGAGUUCAUAUCGACGGCGGUGUUUGGCACCUCGAUGUCGGCUCAUCACAUCCUGGGGCUGAAGUAGGUCCCAAGGGUAUGGCUGUUCGCCAUUUAAAGUGGUACGCGAGCUGGGUUUAGAACGUCGUGAGACAGUUCGGUCCCUAUCUGCCGUGGGCGCUGGAGAACUGAGGGGGGCUGCUCCUAGUACGAGAGGACCGGAGUGGACGCAUCACUGGUGUUCGGGUUGUCAUGCCAAUGGCACUGCCCGGUAGCUAAAUGCGGAAGAGAUAAGUGCUGAAAGCAUCUAAGCACGAAACUUGCCCCGAGAUGAGUUCUCCCUGACCCUUUAAGGGUCCUGAAGGAACGUUGAAGACGACGACGUUGAUAGGCCGGGUGUGUAAGCGCAGCGAUGCGUUGAGCUAACCGGUACUAAUGAACCGUGAGGCUUAACCUU
RNAcentral lists this ribosomal RNA (2252 nucleotides) under Escherichia coli. RNAcentral describes it as "partial 23S ribosomal RNA". It matches the Rfam family "Bacterial large subunit ribosomal RNA", at positions 695 to 2925 of the family's 2925-position model. Lineage: Bacteria; Pseudomonadati; Pseudomonadota; Gammaproteobacteria; Enterobacterales; Enterobacteriaceae. The record is from RNAcentral.